This 253-nucleotide ribosomal RNA is filed under the name uncultured bacterium. RNAcentral's name for it is "partial 16S ribosomal RNA". It matches the Rfam family "Bacterial small subunit ribosomal RNA", at positions 524 to 776 of the family's 1533-position model. The record is from RNAcentral.
UACGUAGGGUGCGAGCGUUGUCCGGAAUUAUUGGGCGUAAAGGGCUCGUAGGCGGUCUGUCGCGUCGGGAGUGAAAACUCAGGGCUUAACCCUGAGCCUGCUUCCGAUACGGGCAGACUAGAGGUAUGCAGGGGAGAACGGAAUUCCUGGUGUAGCGGUGGAAUGCGCAGAUAUCAGGAGGAACACCGGUGGCGAAGGCGGUUCUCUGGGCAUUACCUGACGCUGAGGAGCGAAAGCGUGGGUAGCAAACAGG